Molecule: long non-coding RNA, 491 nt
Filed under: Lupinus angustifolius (narrow-leaved blue lupine)
Lineage: Eukaryota; Viridiplantae; Streptophyta; Magnoliopsida; Fabales; Fabaceae
Description: long non-coding RNA (LANG_LNC000808)
Source: RNAcentral
AUUGAUCAAGUUUCAAGUGUGGACAUUUACUUCAGUAUGAGGAUGUCAAUUAUUAAACUAGCUUUCGUAUUGGUUUUCAUCUUUGCAACAGGUUAGUAAUUUUGUUUUACGCAACCCUGAUCAUUUCUCUUGUUGAAAUAUAUGGAUCCAAUUCUAUAUCGUAAAUUAUUUUCAUUAUACUCUAAUUAUUCAUCCAAAUUUGCUUGAAAUUUAUGAUAUGAAUUUUGUUCAUGUAUUAUUUAUGUGACUACAUAUAUGUGCAAAGAAUCAUAUGCGUGGGGUCCCAUUGUGCAUAUUCCUUGUAGCGCAGACAUACAGUGUGAAAAAAUUCAUGGUCCUGGUUGCGAAUGUAUUCACACAUAUUGUUGUCCACCGCCACCGUUUGAUAAACUGCGGAUCCAAGCAUCACAAGAAUGAGUAUCAAAAGUGUGUGUUGGAAUAAUAAAAUGUUGAUAAGGAUUGAUUACAUCUUAUUAUCAUGUAAUAUCAAA